Molecule: ribosomal RNA, 358 nt
Filed under: uncultured bacterium
Lineage: Bacteria
Description: bacterial SSU rRNA
Rfam family: Bacterial small subunit ribosomal RNA
Source: RNAcentral
AAUCAACGCUGGCGGCGUGCCUCAGACAUGCAAGUCGAACGCUGCUGUUCGCCUUCGGGUGGACAGCGGAGUGGCGCACGGGUGAGUAACACGUAGGUAAUCUACCUUUGGGUGGGGAAUAACAGCCGGAAACGGCUGCUAAUACCGCAUAAUGCAGCGGCAUCGCAUGAUGACAGUUGUUAAAGCGAGGGAUCGUAAGACCUCGCGCCUGAAGAGGAGCCUGCGGCAGAUUAGGUAGUUGGUGAGGUAAUGGCUCACCAAGCCUGCGAUCUGUAACCGGCCUGAGAGGGCGGUCGGUCACGCUGACACUGACAUACGGGUCAGACUCCUACGGGAGGCAGCAGUCGGGAAUUUUGGG